Long non-coding RNA from Cygnus olor (mute swan), 973 nucleotides. RefSeq lists it as uncharacterized. The transcript is spliced from 2 exons. Lineage: Eukaryota; Metazoa; Chordata; Aves; Anseriformes; Anatidae. The record is from RefSeq and is a predicted model, not a curated record.
CCCUUCCCCGGUGGAGGCCCCGCCCGGGGGGUCCCGGUGCGAGCCCGGCCCGAUCCGCUCAGUGCCGUGCCCGCUGUUGGGGCAGCCCCGAGCCCCCCUCGGUUCCCCCGCCGCCGCUGGGGGCCCGGAGCGGCCUGAGCUGCCGGUGCCGGAGGUUGCUGACAGCGGAGGUUUCCAAACCCAGCGCCCGACGCCGCGGCAGGGGGCGAUGCCGACCGCGUGCCCGGCCCGGUGCCCGGUGCGCCCCGGCACAGACGGGACGAGCCCUCAGCACGGCCCCCGGCAGCACGCGGCCCGGCCUACACCGACGGACGGGGGGUGGGGGGGCCGGGAACGGGGCCGGGGCCCCGGCGAGCCCCAUCCGGCGGGCGCUGAGCCCCGCGCGGGCGCUCCUGGGAGCGAGACAGCUAUUCCCAGCACCUGCUUUUGAAGGGCAUUUUUUCAGGAAGCGCAGUGAGUUGGGUCUGUGUCGUGCAGCAGGAGCCAGGAGCCCUUGCCCCUGGUCCUGCUCGCCUCUGUCCUCACGGGCGGCAGCAGGGCAGGGGCUCCCGGCCGCAACCCCCUGCCCGCCUCUCCGAGGGCUGCCUUCGAGUGGAGGAUGCCAAGCGGCCGGAGAGAGCACCGCUGAGGAACAGCGACAGGUCGAAGAAUGCUUGGAAAACCCUUCUUCCAAUCAGGCAAUCUGCAGCCUGGAUUGUUAAGUGUAGCUCUUUCUUUCCUUGGCUCUCCAGCUCCAUCUGAAUUGGCUUCCUCAGCACUCCAGGAAGGCUUAUGUAAGGUUUAACAGCCAUCACUUUUCCAAAGGUAACAUGGAAAUGUCCUUUUCAUGACACAAGAGGGAGAUUCCCCAUUUGGGAAGUUGAUUUCUUCGCUGUUACCAAAUGACUGCUUUCGAUGCAUCCUUCGUGCAACUUUGAUCUAGUAACUUAAUUCUUUCGAUGAACAAAAAAUAAAAAAUUGUGUUGAUAUUUCU